RNAcentral lists this ribosomal RNA (489 nucleotides) under uncultured bacterium. RNAcentral describes it as "partial 16S ribosomal RNA". It matches the Rfam family "Bacterial small subunit ribosomal RNA", at positions 28 to 507 of the family's 1533-position model. The record is from RNAcentral.
GACGAACGCUGGCGGCGUGCUUAACACAUGCAAGUCGAACGGUGGAGGGACCAGCUUGCUGGUUCUGGAUGUGUGGCGAACGGGUGAGUAACACGUGAGUAACCUGCCCCCUUCUUCUGGAUAACCGCAUGAAAGUGUGGCUAAUACGGGAUAUUCUGGGUCUGUCGCAUUGCGGGCCCGGGAAAGAUAUUGCUUCGGUGGGGGAUGGGCUCGCGGCCUAUCAGCUUGUGGGUGGGGGGGUGGCCUACCAAGGCGGUGACGGGUAGCCGGCCUGAGAGGGGGGAGGGUGACAGGGGGACUGGGAAACUGGCCAGACGACUACGGGCGGCAGCAGUGGGGACUAGUGCACAAUGGGGGCAAGCCUGAUGCAGCGACGCCGCGUGAGGGAGGGAGGCAUUCGGGGUGUAAACCUCUUUCGCCAGUGAAGCAGUCCUGCUCCUUGUGGGUGGGUUGACGGUAGCUGGAUAAGAAGCGCCGGCUAACUACGUG